Molecule: ribosomal RNA, 465 nt
Filed under: uncultured bacterium
Lineage: Bacteria
Description: partial 16S ribosomal RNA
Rfam family: Bacterial small subunit ribosomal RNA
Source: RNAcentral
GACGAACGCUGGCGGCGUGCUUAACACAUGCAAGUCGAACGGAAAGGCCCUGCUUGCCGGGUACUCGAGUGGCGAACGGGUGAGUAACACGUGGGUGAUCUGCCCUGCACUUCGGGAUAAGCCUGGGAAACUGGGUCUAAUACCGGAUAGGAGCCAUUUUUAGUGUGAUGGUUGGAAAGUUUUUUCGGUGUAGGAUGAGCUCGCGGCCUAUCAGCUUGUUGGUGGGGUAAUGGCCUACCAAGGCGGCGACGGGUAGCCGGCCUGAGAGGGUGGACGGCCACAGUGGGACUGAGAUACGGCCCAGACUCCUACGGGAGGCAGCAGUGGGGAAUAUUGCACAAUGGGCGCAAGCCUGAUGCAGCGACGCCGCGGGGGGGAUGACGGCCUUCGGGUUGUAAACUCCUUUCGCUAGGGACGAAGCUUUUUGUGACGGUACCUAGAGAAGAAGCACCGUCUAACUACGUG